UAUAAUAUGCGGUCAUAGAUGACGCGCCAUCUGCAUGUCGUCUAUUCAUAUAAUAGACGACGCAGUAGAAGUGAUAGACGACGCGUUUGAGCGCCAUGUCGUCUAUGUGCAUGGUGAGCGCUAAUACACGACGUGCGAAGAAGGGCGUCGUCUUUAAUACAAUAGACGACACGCAUACUGCGCGUCGUGAGUCUGAAAUUUCAAUCUCUCCCGCCGCUCUCUGAAAUUAGGGCUAGGUUAGGCGUGUUUCCCACUCUCUCCCCUCUCUGAAAUUUCAAUCUCUUCUUCUCGUGAGUCUGUGAUAGAGAGUCCGAGAUCAGUCUGAAAUUUCAAUCAGCCGUCCACCGUCCAUCGCUCCUCCGGCGCUUCACCCACCACAACACCUGACGCCUCCCCCCUCGUUGAUCGAUUUUGCCGCCCACCACCACCUCGGCGAAUGGAUUAGGCGAAGCCCUAGCCGCCGCCGUUAAGAGCCACCACCGGAGAGGGCUCGACGUCGCGAAGCCGUUGCCGCCACUCUACCUUCGCCUCGACGAUAUUCUGCCGCCCAUCUCCGCCCCAGAGACAUCCCAAAGCCGCCGCUAGGGCUCACCGUCUUCGACAAGCAGGUCGUGUUGUUCAAAGACGGCGAUGGAGUAAUUAGGUGUUACGAAGAUCGUUGCCCCCACAGGUGGAGUUCAGUCUCUGCUUGAUAAGGCAGCAGAUGAGGGCUUGGUGAUACUUCAAUCUCCAAGGGUUGGGUAUUUUAAAAGAUCCAGGACCAUUAAAGGGAAGAAGGCUCAUCCAUCUUAAAGAUAAAUAUUCUGUUAUAUUUAUAUGAACAGUGGCUCGCUUGACAUCAAAUUAAUUUCUAUGCGCCACCAUUUCAUCGGACUAAAAAAUUGAAGAUGCCAAGAGCUUCCUAUAUUGCCAGAAGGGAGUCUGUGCUUGGUUCCAAAUGCUCAUUGAGAAGCAUUUUAACACCUCCUCAUUCGACGUUUCUGUUGCGUUUUAAAAUUGGACAAUUGGACCUUGGAGUAGUUGUUUAGUAAGGGAAUAUGCUAAAGUUAGAACUAAUGAAUCUAUUGAGAUGAAUAUGGAUGAAGAUGUUAUCCGAUUUAAAAUUAGUGAUCAGAGUCAAGAAGGAACAUCCUUAAAUAAAAGGAAAGCACUGACAAAAAAGUCAGACGUGUCAAGAAAUGCGAAGCUCAACGAACUUAGGUUUUAUCGGUUGAAAGCAAAGAAGAAAAUAAAUUCUCCAAAUCCUGAAGUUAGGAUAAGGUACAAGCUUGAGAAGGUAGGCAAAUAUUCCUUUGGUUCCUGCUGCUGGUUUCUUGGAUUACUUUACUUGCUAAACACUUUUCAUAUGCUAAUUUUCUUGU
Salvia miltiorrhiza (redroot sage) is the source of this 1361-nucleotide long non-coding RNA. RefSeq lists it as uncharacterized. The record is from RefSeq and is a predicted model, not a curated record. The transcript is spliced from 4 exons. Lineage: Eukaryota; Viridiplantae; Streptophyta; Magnoliopsida; Lamiales; Lamiaceae.